Megalops atlanticus (tarpon) is the source of this 78-nucleotide non-coding RNA. The record is from the annotation of a GenBank genome assembly. NCBI's taxonomy places the organism in Eukaryota, Metazoa, Chordata, Actinopteri, Elopiformes, Megalopidae.
GGCAGUGGGGCAUAGUGGUAUGGAGCUGGACUUGUAAUCGGAAGGUUGCCGGUUCGAUCCCCCACCGGGGCACUGCUG